UCACAGGUGUAUCUUUUAUUAGGGUCCUUCUCCAUCAAAUUCCGAAUGAAGUCUUUAGCAGACUCAGAGAUAUCAUCCCAGUAUGGAGAGUCGAAUUCAUACUCUGCCUUGAGGAUCUGCUCGAAGAGUUUGGAGUCAUUCUCAUCAUAGAAAGGAGGAUACCCACAGAGCAGGAUAUAUGCGAUGACCCCGAUGGACCAGCAGUCCACGGCUUUGCUGUAGGGUUUCUGGGCCAACACUUCAGGAGCAACAUAGCCAGGAGUUCCGCAGGCUGUGGACAUCACAUCUCCUUUACCCUCCAUCUUAGACAAUCCAAAAUCACUGAUCAUGAUUUUUG
RNAcentral lists this long non-coding RNA (337 nucleotides) under Gallus gallus (chicken). Lineage: Eukaryota; Metazoa; Chordata; Aves; Galliformes; Phasianidae. The record is from RNAcentral.